Molecule: ribosomal RNA, 1709 nt
Filed under: Cimex lectularius (bed bug)
Lineage: Eukaryota; Metazoa; Arthropoda; Insecta; Hemiptera; Cimicidae
Description: SSU rRNA
Rfam family: Eukaryotic small subunit ribosomal RNA
Source: RNAcentral
CAUGCAGUCUCAGUACAGACUAUAUUAAAGUGAAACCGCAAAGGCUCAGUAAACCAGUUUUAAUUUACUAGAGUUAACUUGACUGUGCUUGGAUAACUGUGGUAAUUCUAGAGCUAAUACAUGCAACCAAGCCGUGACCAUUCGUGGUCAGGGCGCUUUUGUUAGACCAAGACCAAUCGCCCGGCCAGUCCGGGCGUUAAGUUGAGGAACCUAGAUAACACAGCAGAUCGCAUGGUCUCCGUACCGGCGACUUAUCUUUCAAAUGCCUGACUUAUCAACUGACGAUGGUAGACUCUGUGUCUACCAUGGCUGUUACGGGUAACGGGGAAUCAGGGUUCGAUUCCGGAGAGGGAGCCUGAGAAACGGCUACCACAUCCAAGGAAGGCAGCAGGCACGCAAAUUACCCACUCCCGGAACGGGGAGGUAGUGACAAAAAAUAACGAUACGGGACUCGAUAUGAGGCCUCGUAAUCGGAAUGAGUACACUCUAAAUCCUUUAACAAAAAUCUAUUGGAGGGCAAGUCUGGUGCCAGCAGCCGCGGUAAUUCCAGCUCCAAUAGCGUAUAUUAAAGUUGUUGCGGUUAAAAAGCUCGUAGUUGGUUCUGCGUCCCGCGCUGUCGGUACACCGUUUGUCGGUGACACUGGCAUGACGCGGGAUGUCCUGUCGGUGGCGGCGGANACCAUAUCGCCGUCGGAUAACACCGCGGCGUGUUGGCCUUCUGUCGCCGGCUAUAUCCUACCGCGGUGCUCUUCACUGAGUGUCGAGGUAGGCCGACACGUUUACUUUGAACAAAUUAGAGUGCUUAAAGCAGGCAAAAAUCUCUGCCAGAAUAGUGGUGCAUGGAAUAAUGGAACAGGACCUUGGUUCUAUUCUGUUGGUCUCCGGAACACAAGGUAAUGAUCAAUGUGGACAGGCGGGGGCAUUCGUAUUGCGGCGUUAGAGGUGAAAUUCUUGGAUCGUCGCAAGACGCACUAGAGCGAAAGCAAUUGGAGCUUUCCCCGGGAAACCAAAGCUUUUGGGUUCCGGGGGAAGUAUGGUUGCAAAGCUGAAACUUAAAGGAAUUGACGGAAGGGCACCACCAGAAGUGGAGCCUGCGGCUUAAUUUGACUCAACACGGGAAACCUCACCAGGUCAGGACAUUGGAAUGAUUGACAGAUUGAUAGCUCUUUCUUGAUUCAGUGGGUAGUGGUGCAUGGCCGUUCUUAGUUGGUGGAUCGAUUUGUCUGGUUAAUUCCGAUAACGAACGAGACUCUAGCCUAUUAACUAGACGCGUUUGGUAUCGAAUCUACCGGCGAACAAUAUUCUUCUUAAGGGGACAGGCGGCUUUUAGCCGCACGAGAUUGAGCAAUAACAGGUCUGUGAUGCCCUUAGAUGUCCUGGGCCGCACGCGCGCUACACUGAAGGAAUCAGCGUGUGCGUUCCCUUGGCCGAAAGGUCCGGGUAACCCGCUAAACCUCCUUCGUGCUAGGAAUUGGGGCUUGCAAUUGUUCCCCAUGAACGAGGAAUUCCCAGUAAGCGCGAGUCAUAAGCUCGCGUUGAUUACUUCCCUGCCCUUUGUACACACCGCCCGUCGCUACUACCGAUUGAAUGAUUUAGUGAGGUCUUCGGACUGGCGGUUAGCCCAACCGACUUUGUCGGUUUUGUCGAACGCUGGAAAGAUGACCAAACUUGAUCAUUUAGAGGAAGUAAAAGUCGUAACAAGGUUUCCU